This is a long non-coding RNA of Hibiscus syriacus, 211 nucleotides long. RefSeq lists it as uncharacterized. The record is from RefSeq and is a predicted model, not a curated record. The transcript has 3 exons. NCBI's taxonomy places the organism in Eukaryota, Viridiplantae, Streptophyta, Magnoliopsida, Malvales, Malvaceae.
GGACACUUGAACCGGAAGAAGUAUUCUCACUUGAAGGAGGAGGAGAAUUUGAUAAGUUGGCUCCUUACAGAGAAAAGCUUAGUAACAAAAUGCUUCUGUGGCAUGGUUCUCGGCUGACAAAUUUUGUAGAGAUACUUAGCCAGGGACUAAGAAUAGCUCCUCCAGAAGCUCCAGCGACUGGCUAUAUGGGGGUUUACUUUGCUGAUUUUGU